GCCGAUGUAGCUCAGUUGGCAGAGCACGAUCAUGGUAAGAUCGGGGUCGCCGGUUCGAUUCCGGCCAUCGGCUCCA
This 76-nucleotide transfer RNA is filed under the name Candidatus Nomurabacteria bacterium RIFCSPLOWO2_02_FULL_40_10. Its description in RNAcentral is "tRNA-Thr". It matches the Rfam family "tRNA". From Rfam's summary of the family: Transfer RNA (tRNA) molecules are approximately 80 nucleotides in length. RNAcentral also lists the same sequence under 1 other name. Lineage: Bacteria; Candidatus Nomuraibacteriota. The record is from RNAcentral.